UUGGCGGACGGGUGAGUAACGCGUGGAAAACCUGCCGUAUACUGGGGGAUAACACUUAGAAAUAGGUGCUAAUACCGCAUAAGCGCACAGCUUCGCAUGAAGCGGUGUGAAAAACUCCGGUGGUGUAAGAUGGACCCGCGUCUGAUCAGCUUGUUGGCGGGGUAACGGCCCACCAAGGCGACGAUCAGUAGCCGGCCUGAGAGGGCGGACGGCCACAUUGGGACUGAGACACGGCCCAGACUCCUACGGAAGGCAGCAG
RNAcentral lists this ribosomal RNA (259 nucleotides) under uncultured bacterium. RNAcentral describes it as "partial 16S ribosomal RNA". It matches the Rfam family "Bacterial small subunit ribosomal RNA", at positions 95 to 354 of the family's 1533-position model. The record is from RNAcentral.